RNAcentral lists this ribosomal RNA (492 nucleotides) under uncultured bacterium. RNAcentral's name for it is "partial 16S ribosomal RNA". It matches the Rfam family "Bacterial small subunit ribosomal RNA", at positions 29 to 507 of the family's 1533-position model. The record is from RNAcentral.
AGUGAACGCUGGCGGUAGGCCUAACACAUGCAAGUCGAACGGCAGCACAGUAAGAGCUUGCUCUUACGGGUGGCGAGUGGCGGACGGGUGAGGAAUACAUCGGAAUCUACUUUUUCGUGGGGGAUAACGUAGGGAAACUUACGCUAAUACCGCAUACGACCUACGGGCGAAAGCAGGGGAUCUUCGGACCUUGCGCGAUUGAAUGAGCCGAUGUCGGAUUAGCUAGUUGGCGGGGUACAGGCCCACCAAGGCGACGAUCCGUAGCUGGUCUGAGAGGAUGAUCGGCCACACUGGAACUGAGACACGGUCCAGACUCCUACGGGAGGCAGCAGUGGGGAAUAUUGGACAAUGGGCGCAAGCCUGAUCCAGCCAUACCGCGUGGGUGAAGAAGGCCUUCGGGUUGUAAAGCCCCUUUGUUGGGAAAGAAAAGCAGCAGGUUAAUACCCCGCUGUUCUGACGGUACCCAAAGAAUAAGCACCGGCUAACUUCGUG